This 118-nucleotide ribosomal RNA is filed under the name Castor canadensis (American beaver). Lineage: Eukaryota; Metazoa; Chordata; Mammalia; Rodentia; Castoridae. The record is from RNAcentral.
GUCUACAGCUAUACCACCCUGAACGUGCCUGAUCUCGUCUGAUCUCGGAAGCUAAGCAGGGUUGGGCCUAGUUAGUACUUGGAUGGGAAACAUGUUCAAAAUAUGACAAUUAUAUUCU